UGGACAGGCAGCGGGAUUGCGGGCGACCCUUACACAAUCAUCAAUUCAAGCUCCUCCGAUAUCACGCUGAACCCAGGGCAUAAUGUGUCCUAAAAGCUGGUGUUAGGUUGCAGUAGCAUCUGCCUAAUAGAUAUUGCAGAGUCUGAACACAAAUGGGCUUCUCUUAAAGUGUGUGCUGUAUCACUUCACACCGCUCACAGUUUCCUGCCAUUGAUCAAGCCCCACCUAUUCAGCUGAUGGGCCAGAGGAGUAACCCGAUCACCUAACAAGAAAGGAGCAGAGGAGAGAGGAAGGAUAAAAUGAGAGAAAUGUAUGGACUGAUGAGAGACUGGAACCUGGGUGAGGUCAAUCCUGCCGUACUCUCUGUGGGUUAAAGCUGCAUGUUUGAGUGACUAGCGGCAGCUCUAUAAAGGCUUGUGAGAUUUGCAGGAAAUAGAGGAAACUGGAGUCUGAGGGAGACUGGGAGACGGAGGCCACAGAAGAGCAAGGAGGAACAGGUCAGAUUGGGUUUACUGGUCUGUCAGUAUGUCAGUGAUACCCCCUCUGCAUCAGUCCGUCAGCACUGCAUAUAGCACUUACGGGACACACACAGGACACACAUGCACAACUUUAAAAAUACCCUUUCAUGACAAAUUUGCAGAUUGCAGUAAAAUGACAUUUUCCAGCUAGCCUACGCAUUUAGAAACCGGAGCUGCUUAACACCCAUUACGUGUAAAUACAAAUAAUGUGAAUUUCAAACAUGUUUCGGAAAGAUGUGUCAUCAUCGGAGACAAAAACUUUGGAGAAAUCUAAUCCAAAAAUGUGGCCGCAUCGAUGAGUGACAGGAUGUUGCAACACCAUGUACACAGAUACCUUCGGUGAUGCUGUGAAUGUCUUCCAAUAUACACA
This is a long non-coding RNA of Carassius auratus (goldfish), 888 nucleotides long. RefSeq lists it as uncharacterized. The transcript is spliced from 3 exons. Lineage: Eukaryota; Metazoa; Chordata; Actinopteri; Cypriniformes; Cyprinidae. The record is from RefSeq and is a predicted model, not a curated record.